GGGUCAGUGGGUUGGUCGUGCCACCGGUACGUACUGGUCUCACUGAUUCCUCCUUCCUGAAGAACCGUAAUGCCAUUAAUUUGGUGUUGCGGGGAAACAGGACUGUUACUUUGAAAAAAUUAGAGUGUUUAACGCAAGCUAACGCUUGAAUACAUUAGCAUGGAAUAAUGAAAUAGGACGAUCGAUCCUAUUUUGUUGGUUUCUAGGAUUGACGUA
RNAcentral lists this ribosomal RNA (216 nucleotides) under Glomeromycotina sp. RNAcentral's name for it is "partial small subunit ribosomal RNA". The stretch from base 40 to 216 matches the Rfam family "Eukaryotic small subunit ribosomal RNA", at positions 686 to 864 of the family's 1831-position model. Lineage: Eukaryota; Fungi; Glomeromycota. The record is from RNAcentral.